AUGGUGCCCUCCAGCCUGCUGUGGGCCCUGGUGGCCUUCACCUGCUCUGGAUCCAGUGUGGCCCAGAAAGUUAUUCAAGACCAGCCAGCUAUAGCUACUGGAGAGCAUUCAGCAGUCACCCUGAAGUGUUGGUAUGAAACAAGUUGGAGUGCAUACUCCCUUUCCUGGUACAAGCAGCUUCCUGAUGGAAAGAUGACUUACAUCAUUGAGCAGUAUUCUUCUGCCAAGAAUGCAAAAAAGGGUCGCUAUACUAUAAACUUUCAGAAAGCAGACAAAACCAUCUCCCUCAACAUUGUGUCCUUACAAUUGGCUGAUUCAGGCAUGUAUUUUUGUGUUCUUCGAGAAGACACUGUGUUUGAGGUGAUAGUAAGAGCUGAACAAAAACACCAGAGCUGUGGAAGGUUGAACUACAACGUGGAGAGAGGGAGAAGUCAGAAGAUUAUUGUGAUUUCAUCUGUUUGA
Non-coding RNA from Talpa occidentalis (Iberian mole), 462 nucleotides. The record is from the annotation of a RefSeq genome assembly. Lineage: Eukaryota; Metazoa; Chordata; Mammalia; Eulipotyphla; Talpidae.